Non-coding RNA from Petromyzon marinus (sea lamprey), 780 nucleotides. Lineage: Eukaryota; Metazoa; Chordata; Hyperoartia; Petromyzontiformes; Petromyzontidae. The record is from RefSeq and is a predicted model, not a curated record.
UAGCCUGGCACGGCCCCAGCAGUAGCAGUGUCCUUUACGAGCCUCCUCCUCUGCAGUGGUGCACCCACCUUGACUUUGACAUGUUUCAUUUUCCUUUUCCCACCCACCUCGAUCCGUCACUCCCACCUCUGGUCGAUGUGAAGAUGACUCCGGCUCCACUGGAUGUCUGCUCGACGGAAAUCCGUCAGCCUCAGAUUCCGAUGCGGAUCAAAGGGAAUCGCAAACCACGACGCAGACCGAUGGUCCCGAUGGAGACCAACGCGGAGGGGUCGAGACCGGCGAAGAGUCUCGGAAUAAUCCUGAAGAUGGCGAUGACUCCGGCUCCACUGGAUGUCUGCUCGACGGAAAUCCGUCAGCCUCAGAUUCCGAUGCGGAUCAAUGGGAAUCGCAAACCACGACGCAGACCGAUGGUCCCGAUGGAGACCAACGCGGAGGGGUCGAGACCGGCGAAGAGUCUCUGAAUAAUCCUGAAGAUGGCGAUGACUCCGGCUCCACUGGAUGUCUGCUCGACGGAAAUCCGUCAGCCUCAGAUUCCGAUGCGGAUCAAAGGGAAUCGCAAACCACGACGCAGCCCGAUGGCCCCGAUGGAGACCAACGCGGAGGGGUCGAGACCGGCGAAGAGUCUCUGAAUAAUCCUGAAGAUGGCGGUGAGUGGCGUUCAACCACUCGCGUGCAACACGCGUGUACAACGCCUGCGACAUGUUACCUACCUCGCCUUGUAUGCAGGAGGUUUUCAUGAGUACAAUCCUCUCAUUCUCUCCGUGGUGGUCACUGCCUGGU